This is a non-coding RNA of Microcebus murinus (gray mouse lemur), 2170 nucleotides long. The record is from RefSeq and is a predicted model, not a curated record. NCBI's taxonomy places the organism in Eukaryota, Metazoa, Chordata, Mammalia, Primates, Cheirogaleidae.
UUUUUUUCUUUAAGGUCAACUUCCAGAAGCAAAGAACCUACAUUUUAAACAUAUCCAGAUAAUUUGUAUGCACAUGAAAGUUUGGGAAGCUACCACUUUCUCAUGCUUUAAAAAAUAAAAGUGAACCACAGAAAUAUUUUUUUUAAAUUUUGCCCUGUACCCAUGUUAAGUUUGUAAGUGAGAUAUAACAUUUCUUCCCUGACUCUUCAUUUUGCAGCUAGUUGGGAUAAUGAUUUCAACCUUCAGAGGCUUUUAAAAAAAGCUACAUGGUGGUUCCAGUAGUUAUUCUUAGCAGAUAACUGAGGAGGGAAACAUCAAAUUGUGAUAUUUGUCUUAAGGUUUUAGUUAUUAAAGUGACUCUCUUACCUAUUAUGGUAAGGGAGUACAGUGGAAACUGUGUCCUUUGUAGUAGAGCAACACACCCCACCUUUCUGACACCCCCGCCCCAGCCAGCCCCCACUAAGUUCUACUUGCCUAGGCUUGACAGUUGGGGAGGAGCUGGAAGCCAGAGGAACAGGUUGCAGAAGUUCCCCCAGGUGACCCCAGUACAACCCUGCCCCAACCCACACCUUCCCCUCAUUGUCAGAAAGUGAAGCAAUCAAUUGUCUAGCAGGAAUUGCUACUCAAUGUAAUUACUCUAUCUCAGAGGUAGUUGGGAGAGGUAUUUUUCAGGGUUGAGAGGUCUGACCAAUUGGGAUUUUGCCACAGGAAUAAAAACUGAAUUCUGGUGUCUCCUUUUGUAAAGUUUCUGGAUAAAUGGCCCAACGGGAAAGUUUUGCAGGUUUUGGCAUAGCUCAACAAAAUUACUAUUACUGCCAGUGGCAAAGAGUGAAGCCGGAGUUCCAGCCCAGCCAGGGUUACCACUAUGGCAACUGGUACAAGCAGCAACACAGCUCUUGUCCUCUUUCUGGCUACAGCUACACUUGUGCAGUGGAUGGAAAUGGAGUUUCAGCACAUGAGACCCUUCAACGCCCAGCAGGAACUUUGGUUAUGCCUGAGGAAACCACAGCUCUGGCUGAAAACCAAGAUGAAGACCCGCUAGAAGAUCCAAGUCUUCAUUUGAAUAUUGAGGAAUCAAACCAAGAGUUUAUGGCAAAAAGUGAAGAACUCUACGACUCCCUCAUGAAUUGCCACUGGCAGCCUCUGGAUACAGUUUACUCUAAAAUCCCAGAUGAGACCCCAAAGUGAGGCAAGCAAGAAGAAUGAACAAUAAGAAAGUGGAAACUACUAAGGAGAAAGUGCCAUUAUAACUGGAACUCACCCCUAUAUCUCUCUAGAAGCAGGGCUCAGGCACGCUUGACUCAGUUUACAGUCAUCUACCUCCUCCCAGCACCUUGUGUGGUUGAUCGAGAUAAUCUCCCUUGUAUGACCGCGGCCUGGCAACCACCUCCCCAUGGGACAGCUGGAUACAACCUACCUGACUCACCCCACUGACCCACACCGUGCAUGGACCCUGCACACGUGCGUGCCACACUGCAGCUCAGGUGGAAGGAGUAUCAGCAUGUGCCAGGGUGGGACUGCAGCUGGGCACCAUGGAGCUACAUAGACUAGGAAUGAAAAAAUAAGUGAGUAUACUGAGGUUCCUGGGAGCCAGGCUUCUCACUGCUGAAGAAGAAAGUGGAAAGAAUAAACCCAUGUUGUUGGACUGGAAUUGCAGAUAUCAAUGUGGACUUGUGGUUUUUAACAUACACUAUAAAAGUUAAAAUAUAGAUGUGUUUUUGCAUGUGAAUGUGUGAGUAUGAGACAGUGUGUGAGUUGGAAUGUGUGUUUGAGCAUACACGUGUGUACAGCAAGCAUGUGGCACGCAUGUGGACAGACAUUUUGUGUAUACAUGCAUAUAGAUUUUUCCCUGGGUCUAGUAUUCAGAUUGUGAUUUCUAAAUACCAUGCUCUAUUCAAUAGAAUCAGGGCUGGUUGGAGAAGAUGGCAGACUCCAAGCCUGGGCAUGUGAAGUACAAGAUUAGCUUGGAACACCUCUUGUGCCAAAAACAAUGAUUGGGACUUGUUGAAAGGAUGCAGGAGCCCGCUUGAAGGGGCUCCCACUGGCCACGUCUGGGACAAUUAGAGCAACAAUGUCAGUAGAAAAGUAAUGGACUAUAAUCCAUUGACUAAACUAGGCAUCCAAGUCUCUAAGAAUAUAUAAAAAUAAACAAACACACAGGGAGGGACAG